Cavia porcellus (domestic guinea pig) is the source of this 64-nucleotide transfer RNA. It matches the Rfam family "tRNA". From Rfam's summary of the family: Transfer RNA (tRNA) molecules are approximately 80 nucleotides in length. NCBI's taxonomy places the organism in Eukaryota, Metazoa, Chordata, Mammalia, Rodentia, Caviidae. The record is from Rfam.
GGGGAUUUAGCUCAGCGGCAUAAGCGCCUGCCUUGCAAGCAGGCAGUUGUGAGUUCAAUCCCUG